AUUCGGAGCUGGAACUCAGCUCGCUGACCCCAAGCAGUGUUCCCUUCUUUUCGCCAGGUUUGCAUCCAAGAGAGGGGAGGACAGGGGCAAAAGGAUGCAGGGAGGCUGCUGAUUUCCACUGAAGAGCUAAUUUCCUGUGAGACAUUAACAGUGAUUUAAGAAAAAGAUUCCUGUAACUGAGACAAUUAGGAAAAAAGUAAACAAACGGAGCAGGAUUUGGGCAUAACAGCAUGCUCCUCCCAUCCCCCAAAUCCCAGGAGUGUCACUGAGUAAUGUCUUACAAUAACAGAAUGCAGGAGAGCACAUAUCAAUGAAGAAAAGACAAAAUGUACUUAUCCAUGAAGCUGAGGUUAAGAAACCAGUGUCUUCAAGAGCCAGGGACAGCACUGGGUCUGUGCAGAGUUGAGAGAUGGUGAUGACAUGUGGUUUCCAGCAUUCCUCACCCAGUCCAGGGACACUGUGGGUGUGCCCAGCUUAAGUCCAGUAACUGGAAAUACAAGCCCAAGUUCUGGAGAGUU
Molecule: long non-coding RNA, 518 nt
Organism: Homo sapiens (human)
Lineage: Eukaryota; Metazoa; Chordata; Mammalia; Primates; Hominidae
Gene: MAGI2-AS3
Product: MAGI2 antisense RNA 3
Source: Ensembl